This 253-nucleotide ribosomal RNA is filed under the name uncultured bacterium. RNAcentral describes it as "partial 16S ribosomal RNA". It matches the Rfam family "Bacterial small subunit ribosomal RNA", at positions 524 to 776 of the family's 1533-position model. The record is from RNAcentral.
UACGUAGGGUGCAAGCGUUAAUCGGAAUUACUGGGCGUAAAGCGUGCGCAGGCGGUGAUGUAAGACAGGGGUGAAAUCCCCGGGCUUAACCUGGGAACUGCAUUUGUGACUGCAUCGCUGGAGUGCGGCAGAGGGGGAUGGAAUUCCGCGUGUAGCAGUGAAAUGCGUAGAUAUGCGGAGGAACACCGAUGGCGAAGGCAAUCCCCUGGGCCUGCGCUGACGCUCAUGCACGAAAGCGUGGGGAGCAAACAGG